This 3184-nucleotide unclassified non-coding RNA is filed under the name Dermacentor andersoni. RNAcentral describes it as "bTB/POZ domain-containing protein 6-B-like". Lineage: Eukaryota; Metazoa; Arthropoda; Arachnida; Ixodida; Ixodidae. The record is from RNAcentral.
CAUAUCGAAACUGUGUUUUUCCAUAGUGACCGGCCGAAUAUUAUGGUAACGAGCCCGUUUUACGGUGGUGACUGGUUAUCGCAGAUUGACUGGACCUUCCCUCUCCGUUAUAGCGAGUGACAGCCGACGACGGGGACGACAAUGCCUUUGAACGUGGAGAAAUUCCUGCAAACCGGAAAUCACGCCGAUGUCGAAUUCGUCGUGAAAUCGGAAAAAUUCGACGUCUCGAAGACCUUCAAGGCCCACAAGCAAUUACUGGCCUUAAGUAACGAAGUUUUUGAAGCCAUGUUCUACGGUCAGCUUGCCGAAAAGGACACCGUGGUCAUCACGGACCUCCACCCUGAUGGAUUCUACGGCCUUCUGAAGUACGUGUACGCGGGACAGGCCAGGAUCCAAAAUUGUUUCGAAGCCUUGCACACAAAUGCUGCAGCGGAGAAAUAUCUCUUCAAAGAGCUGACAAGUGCGUGCCUCGACUACAUUCGCCAGCACGUCGACGCCAAAGAAGCUUGUCUCCUGCUGAACCGUGCCUUCGAGAGCGGCUAUGGAUCGCUUGACAAAGUGGCGGAAGCCGUGCUCUAUAAGAAAGGCGAGGGUGUGCUGAGUUCCGACGCGUUCUCGAAUAGCCGGCUGGAGAUCGUGCAUCUUGUUCUGGACAAGGUGAGAAAUGCACAAGAGAUUUUCGUAAUUCAAGCGGCGCUACGGUGGGCGCGAUCAUAUUGCAAGGCGGGUGCCAUGGACUUCAAAACGACCAUUGCUGCCUUCCUGCCUAAGCUGCGGUUCUUGGCGCUGUCACCGUCGGAUUUCGUGGAGUUCAUCACCUCCGAGGACGCGCAAGGUGUGAUGGAAAAAGAAGACGCGUUCGCCAUUUUGUGCAACGUGAUCCACAAAGGGUGCGCUGAUCUGCCAGAAUGGGUAUGUCGGGAGAGUUCGCCACGUUGUACUAUGUUUGGUUGAUUUCAAUGAAAAUAGUACAUCACAAAACUGUUGGGCCAAUAGCCUAAGCUAGUGGAGGCCCCCAUCUUAUGUGUGACAGUGACAGUUUCGUCUGGUGUUACGGUGACAAAUCUGUCUUGUAUGGCUUUUGUAAGUGCUUUUAGCGCACUCCAAACCAACUGAUUUUCCAUCUCCAACUUACGUUAAUUCAAAAGAUAUCUUGUCUAGCAACCACUGUGCCUGUGUGAAUAAAAUUUGUUGCAUUGAAACAAGAUAAAUUGUUAAAAUGGGUUGCAUUCAAACGAUAUAAAUUGUUGUCAGCGAAGUUCUAUAAUCUUGAGUCACUGAAUUAAUGUGUAAGUAAAACUGAAGUACCAAAUAUAGAAGUUUGUUGGUUUUGUUUUGUUAGAGGAAAUCCUGCAAAUUUGCUGCUUAAUUUAAAGCAAACUUAUUCGGUAUAUUCCCGCAAUUUUUUGUAUAACACAGGCGGGUCUAUAGAGAAAAGUCUUCUCACAACUGUCACUCGGUUUUUUUACUCUUUUAUAGAACUGCAGCAGGUUUUACGCAAAUAUAGACAGCGAUUGUUUAGAUUUAGCGUCUCGCAAACGUUUCAAGAGAAAGACGUGUAGCCAAACCUUACUCUCAUGUCAUUGUUCGUAAAAAUGUGUUCCUAUGCACGCUUGGCGAGACGCCACAGCGUUACAUUUCUUGUCAAAAACUAAUUUAAGGGUCGAGUUCGUCGAGAUGUGUGCUGUAUUUUACUUUCAUCUGUGCUUCUGUGCCAGAAUAUUUAUGAAGCGACAGCCUUUUAUAUUGCACUGCUGUACAAUUAUAAAUGUAUUUCAGUAUCCUAGCUGUCAAGCAAGUUUGUCUGUACUUGAAUAGUUCAAGUCAAAAAUAUGUCUUUUGUUGAAAAUGUAAGGUGCCUAUUAAUGUUUUUCUGCGAUGACUGUGUGAGGUUAUUGUAAGUAGGUUAUUAAGGUUACGUUUGCUAACAAUGUUUCAUGGCAAUGGUGGAUGCGUGAACCUGCAUGGUAAUAAAGGGCGAAUAUAAACAUUAACAAGAUUUUGCAACAACUGCAGGGGGCAUGCUGUCUUCGCAGAAUUUGGAAUAAGUGCCGUGACUGGAGCUAUUAGUUUUCAGUAGAAACUGUGCAUACGGCACACGCUUUGUUAUGUAGGCACUAUAAAUUUGUCACAAAAUGCAAUGUGGUUGCAAGUAAGAGUUUUCCUUGCUGAAACAAUCUGGCGUGCGGGAAUGUACUAAACAUACAUGUUGCAGAAUCCGAGUAUUAAAACUCGUGCCAAUUACAGAGUUCCGAUAACGAAAAGUUAUGGUUUGAAUGGCGUCCGAUUUCAGUUCACCACUAACAACAUGCCUUCCAAAGACAUUAACUAGAAAACGUAAUGAGUGCUUAAGAGUUCAUUAACGUUCAUAUUAGGAGUUAUCGCGCAAAAUCUGACGUCGGCCACUGCUCUGUAACAUAGGCAGCAAAGAUGGUCUCAAACCUCUCAUUUUUGUUAACCUCAAACAAUCCUUUCAAAAGCGAAGCCAGGGGCCCGAGCACACAAAGAAUGUCAAACUGCGCCUUUCACAGUCGUCCACCUUGUCUAGCCCCGCACGUUGCAUUAUUACAAUGUGGAAAUCUAACUAGCUUGCUCAAGUGUGUGCACUCUGAACAUUUUGUGAUUGCUUCCAUCUAAGAAAGUUCGAGGAUUACUGUCAAAUUAUUGCGGUUGGAUGUUUCACGCUCACUGUACGUAAACGUUAAACGGCAUCGACACCACUACUGUUCUUUAGAGCCGCUUCAUCAAUUUCUUUGAAACAGAAGCAUUCUGUUUCGGUAGUAAGAAACAACUCGCUAAAAUUAGCUUACCGACCCUAUUUAAAGCUUAAUGAAUAUUAGGGGUUAAUAUUCAGAGACAUAGAGGCAGCUGGGAUAUCAUAAGCCAUCCUCUUACGCGACACGACCACGCGUUCUUGUGAAUACGAUCUAGCCGUGUGCUCUGAACUGUAAUCGUGUAUUGUAAAAGAUCAACCUUUUCACAUUGUGGGACUCAAGUUUUGGUUGGAACGUAUGACUAUACUGUGUAUGUCGCUUCUCUCACUAUGCUGUAAGUGCAGUUAUUGCUUUAUAUUACAGCUGUAACUCAAGCGAUGUCAAGGUGUGACACCGCGAGUGUGAUUGCUUGUGUACUUGUAUUUCCACCGCUUAAGCCUUCAAGAAAUGACGUCCUGUGAGGCCUGCCG